Molecule: long non-coding RNA, 401 nt
Organism: Asparagus officinalis (garden asparagus)
Lineage: Eukaryota; Viridiplantae; Streptophyta; Magnoliopsida; Asparagales; Asparagaceae
Exons: 3
Source: RefSeq, a predicted model, not a curated record
CACCAUUGAUCGAUCUUCCAGACUUCUCUGCAGGAAUUUCAAACAGGUUUCGAACAGGUUCUAACAACAAUUAAAUAAAACCACUAGAGUAGCAGCUGCGAAGUAUAAGAAAGAAGAAGGUUUGACUGCAACAUAUAGUCCAACACUCUAAGUCAAACAGACAUGUAAAAGUACAACUUGAAAAACACUGUAAAGUUUCUCAUCUUUUAAUAAUGGACCUAAUAAGUAAGAUUAUCACAAAAAAUGCAAAAUGUACCACUGACAUAACUACGGCUAUAGAUAUACAAGUUUGCAUAUGUGGAUAAGUAGCCUAGAAGCCAAUUAAUAAUUUAGUUCAAACGACAUACACAUCAACACACACAAAAGUUAUCAUUGAAGUGUUAUGUAUGAGAAAAUGCUUU